RNAcentral lists this ribosomal RNA (464 nucleotides) under uncultured bacterium. RNAcentral describes it as "partial 16S ribosomal RNA". It matches the Rfam family "Bacterial small subunit ribosomal RNA", at positions 338 to 795 of the family's 1533-position model. The record is from RNAcentral.
CCUACGGGUGGCAGCAGUAGGGAAUUUUCGUCAAUGGGCGCAAGCCUGAACGAGCAAUGCCGCGUGAACUAGGAAGGUCUUCGGAUCGUAAAGGUCUGUUGAAGGGGAAAAAGAGCGGAGAGAGGAAAUGGUCUCCGAUAGAUAUUACCCUUCGAGGAAGUCACGGCCAACUACGUGCCAGCAGCCGCGGUAAGACGUAGGUGGCGAGCGUUCUCCGGAAUGAUUGGGCGUAAAGGUAGCGUAGGCGGCCUGCUAAGUCUGGAGUGAAAGGUACCGGCUCAACCGGUACAGGCUCUGGAAACUGGCGGGCUAGAGGGCAGGAGAGGGCGGUGGAACUCCAUGUGUAGCGGUAAAAUGCGAAGAUAUAUGGAAGAACACCAGUGGCGAAGGCGGCCGCCUGGCCUGUUACUGACGCUGAGGCACGAAAGCGUGGGGAGCAAAUAGGAUUAGAUACCCCAGUAGUC